GCUAUUAUGGUGCAGCCGGAGACGGUGUCCGACGGCAUGGUGAACCUCAUGGCAAGUCCCGAACGGGAAGGGCCAGGAGGUGCUAUGGAGUCAUACACGAUGAUAAAACUCUGUUUCAACCGUGGCAGGUUUCAGAAUUCAUAUUUCCAGUAGCCAACAUGGAACUGAUAGUUUGAACAUCCUGUAGGUGGCCCUUUGAACUCCCGAGGGUGGUGAGAGAGGUGUAUACAAGUGAUACCUACUGUUGUGCUUUGUGGAAGAUCAAUGACAAAGGUUCUCUGGGUCGCUGCUGUUGUGGUUUGUGAAAUUUUUCUGAAGUAAGAAAGCAUCAGUCCUCUUAUUUUCUGUCCUCUAUGAAAGAAUGUAGCUCGCUCUUUCAACCCGGGGCCCCCUCUGGGGAACUGUUUGAGUUUUAGCAUCGAUCCCAUUUCCUUUUGAUCGUAUUAUGCUUGACUCGCUGCAAAACAUUUCGCUUUCUGCGCUCGAAUGCUUCAGGUUUUAUAUAUUGUGACAUUGAACAAUGGAAAUGGAAAUUUUGUUUUGUGAGGAUCUGGUUGGAGCCUUUGUUGUCAAGUUUAUAAGCAGGUAAGAAACUAACCGAGGACAACAUACAAAUUGUAACUGUAGUUACAUGAAAAGAUGAGGAUGAUUGCGUCAAAAUGUUAUAUAAAUUUUGUGAGUUCGUUGCAAUAAGCAGAGUAUGAUAUUAUAAACGAAUCUAUUUAAAGAUGUUACAGAUUAGGUAGUUAUUUAUCUCACUUACUCUGCUUAUUUCCAACUUGAUUUACUUUAGGUACCGUACUUCAGUUAACUUAUUUGUGCAAAGGAGUAAGAGGGCAUAUACUGCAGAUUCUAGAGGAAUUUUCUACUGUUCACUUGUUAAUUCGCAUGUUAGAAUGUUUAUUCUCAGUUUUGGGAUAGUGCUCACUUGAUCAAUACAUGUGUUUUUGUAGCUCAUUUUGCUUGAUUCAUACCCACAACCCAUUCAUCACUAGAGCCUGUCAUGCCUGCAUUGUCAUGGACCCUCACAAGGCACCACCAGUCAAUAGUGUGUCCAGAAAAAUGAUUUGUCGGUCCAUAAAUGGAAGCGGGUUGCUACCCCUGUCUCCCUAUUGCUUAGGUUCUAUAUGAUUGGGACUGACCCAUAAAUGAAAGACUAAUGGAACAUAUCCCUUUCUCUUCAAGUUCAAACUAUUAAGGGAUUUGUAUUAAAAUAAUGAUCAAUCUCCUCUUGAUGAUAAUGGCCUAGAUUUUUUAAAUCUCCUUUCCUUUGACAGUUAUAUUUUUGGUAGAUCACAUAAUCAUGGUGUAUCAUGUGUCCUGUUCAAUGCAGAAUUGUAUGUACACUUUUUGUUCUCAGCGUUGCUCAUGUUUCCCCCUUCGAGUCAAGAUUAUUUUCUAUUUGCUUAGUUGCAGCUAUAGGGGAAGAGUUGCUUCUCUUUUUAAUCAUCUUUCAUGUUACCAUGAAGAUUAUGCCCAUUUAAUUCAGCUGUGUACAUAACACAUCCAUGUGUGAAGGCCACGUGUGCAUGGUUAUUAAAAUCGUAUUUACUAUUUCUAUAGUUGUAUUGGAUUCCUCCAUCUCAUUCCAAAAGUGUGUUGUUCUGAAGAGUAACCUUUACCAAAUGAUAGAAAUGAGAGUAAUUUUUUUUAAAAUUUACAUGGUUUGGACCACACAAACAUUUAGAAAUGGUUUGGACACAAACUUAUGGCCCAGAAGUUAUAUAUGCAAGAUGGAGCUUCGGCUUCUAAGACAAAAAAAUAAAUUUGUAGCUAACUAAAGAGUUCUCAUUUGAUUUGGAUUACAAACUGCAAGUGCCAAUUAUUAGUUUGCCUUUAUGCAUCUUAUAUCCGAAUUUAGAGGUAUUUUAAUAUUAGUAAUGUCCGGUAAGUGUAGUUGCUUUGUUCGUCUUUUUGGAACUAUUUUUUCAUUAUUUCUACUAGGUGGGGUAUAUUUGAGGUGGAAAAACUUGCAGGCUAAUGUCUUGCCAUUCUGUCUGUUUAUAAUUACAUCCAACAGGCUAAAGAUGGCUCUUGGUUGACGGUGCAAUUUUAUUGUCGCAUUGAGAUCCCUGAGCUACAACAAGCUGGGGCCAAGGCCGGAGGAAGAAACAAGGUUCUUCUUAUGGCUGCUCCUUCAAAACGGACUUUGGACUGCUGAUUGUUUGAGGAACAGGAGAUGGAAUCACAACAAUAACUGCUGCCUGUGUGGCCAAGCUCUCGAAGAUGCCAAUCAUCUCUUCCUUUCGUGCCCUUUUUUGAAGGAGGUCUGUUGUAUAGUGUUGUCCACUGAGCUAUGUCAGUUCAGGCUGAACUUAUUGAAGGUUCUACUCUGGUGGAACA
Long non-coding RNA from Lolium rigidum, 2343 nucleotides. RefSeq lists it as uncharacterized. Lineage: Eukaryota; Viridiplantae; Streptophyta; Magnoliopsida; Poales; Poaceae. The transcript has 3 exons. The record is from RefSeq and is a predicted model, not a curated record.